This is a long non-coding RNA of Xenopus tropicalis (tropical clawed frog), 808 nucleotides long. RefSeq lists it as uncharacterized. Lineage: Eukaryota; Metazoa; Chordata; Amphibia; Anura; Pipidae. The transcript has 3 exons. The record is from RefSeq and is a predicted model, not a curated record.
UAAAUGAAUGCGGCUGAAGCGUCUCUGUGCUGCUCCCCCCUCAGUGCCAGUAAGGGACAUUCUCCCCCACAGACUCACACUGACACUGAGCGGGGGCACUUACACAAACACACACGUUACUGACAGAGCCUGACCUGCUCAUACUGUUACUUCCUGUUCCUCCUGCACAACUUCCGCCUCUAUACUCCGCCCACCUGGAACCCCGCCCACCUGGAACUCACCGGAUCUGAUUCUGCGCCUUCCGCCCCGCCCACAACUUCACCUGUGUCAGAGCUUUGGCAGAGACAGAAAGCUUUAGCAAAACAUUCUGGGGAAAGUCUAAUUCUGAGGUUCCGACCCAGAGUUCUGGUACCCGAGAGAUUCGAGAGCUGCCCAAGGAGAGGUCUAUGAUCCAGUCUUGUCAUGGGAAAUACGAGCAAACAAAGCGACUGUCAGGGUGCUGGAUAUCCAAAGCCUCGCUAGAUUAUUACACUCGGCUAGGCAGCUUUCAUUACUGCUAUCGACGUGGCAUUCCUGUACAUACACAGUGGCGUGGAACAAUGGAACGUUUCAUUGGCGGGGCCCCCCUGCGGCAUGCUGCUUUACCAGUUUACUGCGGAGGCACAAACAAGUCUAAUGCAGGGGAAGGAGUUAUGGGCACACACAAUAUACCCCCGCCUUGUACAUAAUACAGGCCUUUGUGUGCCACAUUCUGCGCUUUGUGCCCCAAGAACAAACAUCAUUUCCAUCAGCAGCGAGAGUGACAUUGGCACUGGUUGUUCUGUAUGUAGAAUAAAUAAAAUGUCCCCAAGGUUGAUGUUUAAGGUUU